UAGUUGCAGAAAAAAAGAUGAAUAAUGACUGGGCUGAACCCAGUAUGAAAAAGAAGAAAUAAAGAAUCCCCAUAAUGAAGCCAUUGAAAUUACACUUGACAUUUAGAUGACACUCAGACAUUUAGAAAAGAACAAGUUGAGAUGGCUCUGAAAGUUUAACUGGAAAAUGAGGACACAAAUAAAGCUGCCUAACUGCUUGAUGGAGAUACAUCUCACCGGGCCC
RNAcentral lists this long non-coding RNA (223 nucleotides) under Macaca mulatta (Rhesus monkey). Its description in RNAcentral is "lncRNA (ENSMMUG00000058555.1)". Lineage: Eukaryota; Metazoa; Chordata; Mammalia; Primates; Cercopithecidae. The record is from RNAcentral.